UACGUAGGUGGCAAGCGUUAUCCGGAAUUAUUGGGCGUAAAGGGUGAGUAGGCGGCUUAGAAAGUCCGCAGUUAAAGACGGUGGCUCAACCACCGGAUGCUGUAGAAACUGAUAGGCUAGAGUGCAGGAGAGGUUAACGGAAUUCCAUGUGUAGCGGUGAAAUGCGUAGAUAUAUGGAGGAACACCAGUGGCGAAGGCGGUUAACUGGACUGAAACUGACGCUGAGGCACGAAAGCGUGGGGAGCAAA
This 248-nucleotide ribosomal RNA is filed under the name uncultured Anaerorhabdus sp. RNAcentral describes it as "partial 16S ribosomal RNA". It matches the Rfam family "Bacterial small subunit ribosomal RNA", at positions 524 to 772 of the family's 1533-position model. Lineage: Bacteria; Bacillati; Bacillota; Erysipelotrichia; Erysipelotrichales; Erysipelotrichaceae. The record is from RNAcentral.